CUUCCUGGUGGAGCUGCAGGAUGGCCUUGGCCAGGCGCUGCAACCUGCUCUUGCUCUGUUUAGCUUUGGAGGGUGAAGAUACUGGCUGGUUGGGUGGUGGGGCCCUGGCUGGACGGGAGAGAUCCUAGUCCAUGGCCUUCACCAGGUCCCAGCAACUAGGCCUGGGCAGAGGCUUGAUAAUCAGCAGGAUGGAUAAUCCGCCGGUAAAUAACGAGAAGCCAGCCCGCUGGCUGCAUAGCAGGAGGGUGUCUCAGUUGAAGCUCUUUGGUUAAAGGGAAAAGAAACCCUUCAGACGAGCAAACAGGAUUUAUGGAGGGGAUGGAACAGCGCAUCUCACAGAGACCUAAGAAGAGACGGGCUGUCUGGAAAAUGAGGGCAUCCAAGGCACAAGGAGAUUCCCAAGCAAAGGGUGGAAUUGGAGCUGCAGCUGCCGGCCUACCCCAUAGCCACAGCAACGCCAGAUCCGAGCUGUAUCAGCAAAUUACACCAGAUCCUACGGCACGGCUGGACCCUUAACCCACUGAGCAAGAAGAAACACACACAUGAUUGUAGAAAGCUUGGAAAACAGAAACCACCAAGAUGGAAGGGAAAAGCAGCUGUAAUCCAAGAUAACGGCUGUUAACAUACUGGUGGGUUCCCUCCUAUUCUUUUUUCUUUAAGUAGUAGCCUGGGGCUCUGUGAGUGAUCUCGGCUGAAGAUCCAUCUUUUGACUCUAAUUAUAUGUCUUCAGACUCUAAGACUUUAGGAUGGCUUUCAAUUUAUUCCCAUAAUUUUCCCUGAGCACAUGGGCUUAUUUUUCCCUUGCCCUUUUACCUUUUCCUGGAGGUGGCAGCUCAAACAGAAUCAACAUGGGCUGGUUCCUCUGUGUGCAAGUCCCACCACCCCGUUG
Molecule: long non-coding RNA, 889 nt
Organism: Phacochoerus africanus (Common warthog)
Lineage: Eukaryota; Metazoa; Chordata; Mammalia; Artiodactyla; Suidae
Exons: 3
Source: RefSeq, a predicted model, not a curated record